RNAcentral lists this long non-coding RNA (489 nucleotides) under Elaeis guineensis (African oil palm). RNAcentral's name for it is "long non-coding RNA (EGUI_LNC007891)". The record is from RNAcentral. Lineage: Eukaryota; Viridiplantae; Streptophyta; Magnoliopsida; Arecales; Arecaceae.
AUGUAAAUGACCAAGGAGGGCAAUAUUGAAAAAGAGGUCCAUGACGCCCAUUUCUGGACCAGCCCGAACAUCAGGCGGCCGGAAAAAGGCUCGGAUGGCCGAGGAGUAGGGCUGUCAGCGACACGGUGAGAGUGACGCGGACCAAAAAUUUAGCUGCGUGGGUGGAGAAUCGCGGUGAGGUUGGCCUUAUAGUAGCACCAACCAUCCAAAGAUAUAUCAGGAAGAGGCCAAGAGUGAAGGUGACAAAAUUGAUCACGAGGUGCGUCUCCGUCGACAAGUGAAGAUGGUGGCCAACAAGAUCCACUGGUGUGGUGGCGAGUAGAAAACAGCCAGCGCCAACGGAGAUGGCAAAGGUGCCGACUGUGAUGAGGUUUGGAUCAUGGACCCGGCGGGCUCGGGCUGCUCCAGGGUUGUGCACCAUGGGGCUCGAAUGAAGAUAAAAAAAAGAGGGAGGAGGGGAGAAGGGUUUGAGGAAGGAAAGGACCAGUG